Molecule: non-coding RNA, 371 nt
Organism: Marmota flaviventris (yellow-bellied marmot)
Lineage: Eukaryota; Metazoa; Chordata; Mammalia; Rodentia; Sciuridae
Source: RefSeq, a predicted model, not a curated record
AGAGCCUGCUGUCUAUGGCCUGAGACCUCUGAAACUAGUCCAGGAUAUAGGAAUGAAUGAAACAGCCCAUGGAGCCUGUAUUCUAGUAAGAGGAGACAGACAAAAGCCAAAACUGAGGGUGACUUCUGGUCAACAGCUAGGAAGAACCUGAGACCUCACAAAGUUGUCAAGUCCUUCCAACAACCACAUGAGUGAGCUUGGAAGCAGAUCCUUUCUUAGCAUAGCUUUCAAAUGAAACUACAGCCCCAGCCAACAUCAUGAUUUCCAGCUUAUAAGAUACCUGAAGGCAGAGACAUUCAGCUAAGCCAUAAUUAGUUUCUUUACCUACAGAAACUGUGAGAUAAUAAAUACUUAUUGUUUUAAGCCCUUAA